AUUGAACGCUGGCGGCAUGCCUUACACAUGCAAGUCGAACGGUAACGCGGGGCAACCUGGCGACGAGUGGCGAACGGGUGAGUAACGCAUCGGAACGUGCCCAGUAGUGGGGGAUAGCCCGGCGAAAGCCGGAUUAAUACCGCAUACGACCUACGGGUGAAAGGGGGGGAUCGCAAGACCUCUCGCUAUUGGAGCGGCCGAUGUCAGAUUAGGUAGUUGGUGGGGUAAAGGCCCACCAAGCCUUCGAUCUGUAGCUGGUCUGAGAGGACGACCAGCCACACUGGGACUGAGACACGGCCCAGACUCCUACGGGAGGCAGCAGUGGGGAAUUUUGGACAAUGGGCGCAAGCCUGAUCCAGCCAUGCCGCGUGCGGGAAGAAGGCCUUCGGGUUGUAAACCGCUUUUGUCAGGGAAGAAACGCUCUGGGCUAAUACCCCGGGGUAAUGACGGUACCUGAAGAAUAAGCACCGGCUAACUACGUGCCAGCCGCCGCCGUAA
Molecule: ribosomal RNA, 498 nt
Filed under: uncultured bacterium
Lineage: Bacteria
Description: partial 16S ribosomal RNA
Rfam family: Bacterial small subunit ribosomal RNA
Source: RNAcentral